GGCGAACGGGUGAGUAACACGUGAGUAACCUGCCCUUGACUCUGGGAUAACUGCUAGAAAUGGUAGCUAAUACCGGAUACGACCCUCGGAGGCAUCUCCAGGGGGUGGAAAGAAUUUCGGUCAAGGAUGGACUCGCGGCCUAUCAGCUAGUUGGUGAGGUAAUGGCUCACCAAGGCGACGACGGGUAGCCGGCCUGAGAGGGUGACCGGCCACACUGGGACUGAGACACGGCCCAGACUCCUACGGGAGGCAGCAGUGGGGAAUAUUGCACAAUGGGCGAAAGCCUGAUGCAGCAACGCCGCGUGAGGGACGAAGGCCUUCGGGUUGUAAACCUCUUUUAGUAGGGAAGAAGCGAAAGUGACGGUACCUGCAGAAAAAGCACCGGCUAACUACGUGCCAGCAGCCGCGGUAAUACGUAGGGUGCAAGCGUUGUCCGGAAUUAUUGGGCGUAAAGAGCUCGUAGGCGGUUUGUCGCGUCUGCUGUGAAAUCCCGAGGCUCAACCUCGGGCCUGCAGUGGGUACGGGCAGACUAGAGUGCGGUAGGGGAGAUUGGAAUUCCUGGUGUAGCGGUGGAAUGCGCAGAUAUCAGGAGGAACACCAAUGGCGAAGGCAGAUCUCUGGG
RNAcentral lists this ribosomal RNA (622 nucleotides) under uncultured bacterium. RNAcentral's name for it is "bacterial SSU rRNA". It matches the Rfam family "Bacterial small subunit ribosomal RNA", at positions 97 to 733 of the family's 1533-position model. The record is from RNAcentral.